Molecule: ribosomal RNA, 367 nt
Filed under: Siphlophis compressus (tropical flat snake)
Lineage: Eukaryota; Metazoa; Chordata; Lepidosauria; Squamata; Dipsadidae
Description: partial 16S ribosomal RNA
Rfam family: Bacterial large subunit ribosomal RNA
Source: RNAcentral
GUCUAUUAAUUGUAGACCAGCAUGAAAGGCAAUAUGAGGGUCUAACUGUCUCUUGUAAUAAAUCAAUUAAACUGAUCUUUUAGUAAAAAAGCUAAAAUUUCACCAUAAGACCAGAAGACCCUGUGAAGCUUAAACUAAACCAUUAAAACACAUAAUGACUACUUUCGGUUGGGGCGACCUUGGAAAAAAAAAGAACUUCCAACACAUCAAUUUAUCACAUACACAGGCCCACAAGCCACACAAAUGACCCAGCACAGCUGAUCAUUGAACAAAGUUACUCCAGGGAUAACAGCGCCAUCUUCUUCAAGAGCCCAUAUCAAAAAGAAGGUUUACGACCUCGAUGUUGGAUCAGGACAUCCUAAUGGCG